AGCGAACAAGGGUUUAGGUCUUGUUCAGGACGUCAUGGGACAGCACACACAGAAGAAAUGUAACUAGAAGCUCUGAAUGUAGCAGUAGGCUCUAUAAAAACAGCAUGGUAUUCUGCGAGUACAUCUGCAAGUUCAAAUCUCUACAUAAAACCAAGGCAUCAUAUAUGCCAAAGUGCAUUAUCUCAAGGUACCAAAUAUAUUCAUAGUAUGUACUCAAUUAAAUGUAUCCCAUUAAAGAUAUUUCAAGGUGACAAUGUUAACGAUAACUACAUUUAGUUCUUUAUUUUGGUGCCUAUCACAAAGAUAACUAAUGAAACUAUAAAUGUUUCUAUAUUUAAUAUGGAUUAAAGCUAUAGGCCUUCAAAAGUUAGUGUCAUAUAUGUAAAAUAUCUUAAACUACCAGUGAUCAAUUCUGAAAAGUUAGGCUAGAAUGAAAAAUGUACCUUUCAAAUGCAAUGAAAAGGUAAUCUGUUUGGGUCACCACAUUGAAAAAUAAUGUUACCAAUUCUGACAGCUUUUCUCACUGCUUUGUCAGCUAUGUAUGAGCUGCUCAGAGUGCUGCCAAAAAGGCUGUUUGUAUAUAUUACAGUGUUUGGGUUACUGAUGUAAAUUAAGCAUAUCUCUUGCUGAAAAAUCAGUCACUUGGAUCAUAUGGUAGAAUGAGUCCUUGAUUUACUUGUCAGUCUGUUUUACAGGUCCAGAGAAAUAUCCUCAAAGGAAUCUUUCCAGUGAAGAAAACUGACUGACGUUAUCAGCAAGGCUGGACCUUUCAUCGUACACAAGUGAGUUACAGGACAAAAUAUCAAUCAACUUCAGUCAAAUCUCCAAGUGGUUUCUUUUGCACAGAUGCAGUCACUAAUGUGCUUUAAGAUUGAAGCCCUGGGAUGUUGUCCCAUCAGACCAGACCUGACGUCAGUAUUGGAUCGUGCACUAAUGACUGGUACUUCAGUUACAUUAGCCACACACAGAAAAUGUCUGCAAAUGGCAAAAGCAACAUCUGAAAACUUGUUCAAAGUAUCAACCAUAA
Non-coding RNA from Odocoileus virginianus texanus, 1027 nucleotides. NCBI's taxonomy places the organism in Eukaryota, Metazoa, Chordata, Mammalia, Artiodactyla, Cervidae. The record is from RefSeq and is a predicted model, not a curated record.